UUUUAUAUAGUUUAAAAAAAACAUUAUAUUUUCAUUAUAAAAAAAAAGACUAUAAUUCUUUUAUAAAAU
This 69-nucleotide transfer RNA is filed under the name Synendotendipes impar. RNAcentral describes it as "tRNA-Glu". The record is from RNAcentral. Lineage: Eukaryota; Metazoa; Arthropoda; Insecta; Diptera; Chironomidae.